Molecule: long non-coding RNA, 2039 nt
Filed under: Gallus gallus (chicken)
Lineage: Eukaryota; Metazoa; Chordata; Aves; Galliformes; Phasianidae
Description: long non-coding RNA NONGGAT008621
Source: RNAcentral
UGCCAUUCCACAUAUGUUUGCUAUACAGAAAAUGCACUUAAUUGUGGAAUUGUGGGGGAGGUGCCUCAGUCUUCUGAACUAACAGGGGAACGAUGACCCAAGGCUUUACUUUAAGAUGGCCUGCAUCAGAGCAGCAUUUUUUCACUCUUCUCAAUAGCAAAGCAGGAAAAUGAGGAAGUGCUUGUUAACCUUCAUGCCUCGUUGACUCUGGGUGUGCAGCCACAUCCAAAGCUGACCCUUUCACCUUUUCCUUUUUGUCUGUAUGUUGAGUUCACCACUGUCUUAACGUGAGCUUUGGUUUAUAGCGAGGAAUGAAUGGGAAAUGCUGGACUGCUCGGGAGAUGGUCCAGGAGAACUGGAAGAACAUUCAAUGGUGGCUUAUAAGGGCACCCUGUAUAUUUUUGGUGGAAUGGUGGAUUCUGCUUUCACACAAGCAAAAACCCCUCUCUGGAUGUAUGACACAGGUAUGAUGCACAAUAGCCAGUGUCCUCCUUGGGACAUUCCAAGGCCAUAGGUACUAAUAAAGAGUAAAAACCAACCCGCUUUCUGCUGCUUGUAACAAGCCUUCCCUGGGCUUCACAAGAAGAAAUGUGUGUAGAACUGAGGACGUAGUUUUCCUCUACAAUUAGGCUGUUGAGCUUUUAAAGGAAUCAGCUGUUCCUUUAAUUGCACAGUUAUUAGUAUUGUUAUUAUUAUUUAGGAAAGCUUAAUGUAUUUUCAUGUCUCUUUUUUCAUUCCUCCUCCCUGCCCCAGAUUUUCUAUUCAACCGCAUUGUGGCCUCUUUGCUACUUCACUGCAUAACUUUAAGUCAGCUGGUUUGUUUUAGCCUUCAUUUUCCAACAUGGAAAUACCUGCUGCUACGGCAGAGAUUCUCAGAUAGAAGCUUCUGUGUACCAUACAUUUAAUAGGAGAAGGUAUUUUGUUACUCACAGUGCUUACCAGUGAAAAUUGUGAAUGAGUUACUCAGAAGUUUUGUGCCUUUUUUUUUUUCGUGGUCAUUAUUUCAGUAUUUCCUUGCAAGUAUAGCUUUUAAUAACAUGGACUUGUAAUUCUUCCUUAUUCUUAUCAGAUGCUGAGUAUCUGCUACCUUCAGUCCUUCAGAUCAGUGGUUUUUGACUGUUACCCGAGGACUGGUUUUAAGCGAUCUGUGAAAAGGAAAGAAAAAUAAGGCUGUGGUUGUAAGGUUUACAUAAUACAUACCAGGAUCAUUUUUUUUGCACUGUGAAAUUUAGCUUUAGGAAACAAAAAAUCCAAUAUGGCAUCUCGGGUGCUUUGAUAGCAGAUAAGGAUACAGGAGAAGUAUCAAACUGUCAGCUCCCCGGCACUGCUGUGUUAGGGGAAGCAGAUUUCUUCAUCCUUGUCAGUGGAAAACACCAAGAUGAGAUUUACUUGAAAAUUAGGUUUGUAAUUCCAAGCACUGUGUUGGAGGAGUGUCCUCUUGUGGUCUGCGGUAUAAACUGCGCUUUAUUAAAAUAAUCCCCCAGAUUCUGCAAGAUGGACAGAGGGCCGCGACGUACCAGCAGAGAUGGAGAGUUUGGCACCUACUAACAGAAAAGGCCACAGUGCAGUAGUGUACCAUGCCAGCAUGUACAUCUAUGGGGGAUACGUUGGCAUCAGAGGCAUCUCACAGGAAUUUUGGACUUUCCAUUUUGGUAAGUUUAAAAGUUGGAUACGUUUUGAUGCAGUACAAUCAGUGGAAACUGAUAUCUGCUGUGGAAUAGCGUGGCUUACUCUGUGAAGAAAAUUCCUAUCAGCAGUAAUGUUGCACGUUAGGUUUGGCUUCUAUUCAGCAGCAUUUAAUUACGAAUUCUGUCAAUUAAACUAAUCCCAGGCUGAAAUGAGUUGGACUGAAUUAUACUGGAGGAAGUUCUGCAGUAUUUGCCAGUUUUAGAGCUGAGAAAUCAGGGAGCGUGGUUCUAUUCACUGAAUUCUUCAAGGUUUACCGAAGACUUCCAGUUGCAGCAGAGACCUUCCAUGACUUCAGCCCACUGAAGUCAUCUUCAGAAUCUCAAAUCUAGAACAGACCACAGAGAUCUAAA